AGCUCCAAUAGCAUAUAUUAAAGUUGUUGCGGUUAAAAAGCUCGUAGUCGGAUAUCUGUAUGGGAGGAGUGGACCACUCAUUGAGUGGGUUCUGCAUCCUUUUUGUGCAUCAUUCUGGGGACGUGUUCUUCACUUCAUUGUGAGGGCGCAGGACCCAGAGCAUUUACUUUGAGGAAGUCAGAGUGCUUCAAGCAGGUAGAUGCCGUGAAUACUUUAGCAUGGUAUGAUAGGACCGGACCUCUGUCCAGCUGUGGGUGUCUGGGCGAAGGUAAAGGUGAACAGGGAUUGUUGGGGGCAUUCGUAUUUAACUGUCAGAGGUGAAAUUCUUGGAUUUGUUGAAGACGGGCGACUGCGAAAGCAUCUGCCGAAGAUGUUC
This 376-nucleotide ribosomal RNA is filed under the name uncultured eukaryote. RNAcentral describes it as "SSU rRNA". It matches the Rfam family "Eukaryotic small subunit ribosomal RNA", at positions 587 to 969 of the family's 1831-position model. The record is from RNAcentral.